UACGGAAUGUGCAAACGUUAUUCGGAAUUACUGGGCUUAAAGAGUUCGUAGGCGGCUUGAAAAGUAGGGUGUGAAAGCCCUCGGCUCAACCGAGGAAUUGCGCUCUAAACUGUCGUGCUCGAGGAAUCUAGAGGUGAGCGGAACUGAUGGUGGAGCGGUGAAAUGCGUUGAUAUCAUCAGGAACACCGGAGGCGAAGGCGGCUCACUGGGGAGUUUCUGACGCUGAGGAACGAAAGCCAGGGGAGCGAACGGG
This 253-nucleotide ribosomal RNA is filed under the name uncultured bacterium. RNAcentral's name for it is "partial 16S ribosomal RNA". It matches the Rfam family "Bacterial small subunit ribosomal RNA", at positions 524 to 776 of the family's 1533-position model. The record is from RNAcentral.